Molecule: ribosomal RNA, 808 nt
Filed under: uncultured bacterium
Lineage: Bacteria
Description: bacterial SSU rRNA
Rfam family: Bacterial small subunit ribosomal RNA
Source: RNAcentral
AGAGUUUGAUCCUGGCUCAGAACGAACGUUGGCGGCGUGGUUGAGGCAUGCAAGUCGCACGAGAACGAGGUAGCAAUAUCUCUAGUAAAGUGGCGGAAGGGUGAGGAAUGGGUAGAUAACGUACCCAGGAGAUGGGAAUAACGACUCGAAAGGGUCGCUAAUGCCCGAUAAGACCACGGCGCAAGCUGAGGUCAAAGGCCGGGGAUCUUCGGACCUGGCGCUCUUGGAUCGGUCUGCUUCCUACCAGCUAGUUGGUGAGGUAAUGGCUCACCAAGGCCUCGACGGGUACCCGGGCUGAGAGGCUGAUCGGGCACAUCGGCACUGAGACACUGGCCGGACACCUACGGGUGGCUGCAGUUCGGAAUAUUCGGCAAUGGACGAAAGUCUGACCGAGCGACGCCGCGUGCGGGAUGAAGGCCCUAUGGGUUGUAAACCGCUUUCGCGAUUAGGUAAAUCACAAUUUUCUAACAAAAGGUUGUGUUGAAUAAGGAUCGUAAAGAAGCCCCCGCUAAUCACGUGCCAGCAGCGGCGGUAAUACGUGAGGGGCGAACGUUGUUCGGUGUCACUGGGCUUAAAGGGUGCGUAGGUGGUUGCGUAAGUAAGGUGUGAAAUCCCUCGGCUUACCCGGGGAAUUGCAUUUUAUACUGCGUGGCUUGAGGACUAAAGGGGAAAAGGGAACUCCAGGUGUAGCGGUGAAAUGCGCAGAUAUCUGGGGGAAGGCCGGCGGCGAAGGCGCUUUUCUGGUUAGUACCUGACACUGAGGCACGAAAGCGUGGGGAGCAAACAGGAUUAGAUACCCUGGUAGUCC